This 524-nucleotide ribosomal RNA is filed under the name Marsenia sp. MNHN IM 2013-79990. RNAcentral's name for it is "partial large subunit ribosomal RNA". Lineage: Eukaryota; Metazoa; Mollusca; Gastropoda; Littorinimorpha; Velutinidae. The record is from RNAcentral.
AUGGCUCUUUGUUAACUAAACAUAAAGAGUCUGACCUGCCCAGUGAUCUAUUUUAACGGCCGCGGUACUUUGACCGUGCGAAGGUAGCAUAAUCAUUUGUCUKAUAAUUGAAGUCUGGAAUGAAUGGUAGGACAAGAGCAAAGCUGUCUCUAGUUACAAAAUAUAAUUUUAUUAUCAAGUUAAAAAGCUUGAAUAAAAUCAAAAGACGAGAAGACCCUAUCGAGCUUCAGUAAGUUAUUAAAAUUCUUUACAUUAAUGUAAAAACAAUAUUUAAAUUGACUUUAGUUGGGGCGACUCGAGAACAAAAAAAGCUUCUUGUUAUUUAAAGACUGAUGGUUGAUCCUUAAAUUAGGAUUAAAAGAAUUAGUUACCGUAGGGAUAACAGCAUUAUCUUUUUUGAGAGCUCAAAUCGAAAAAAAGGUUUGUGACCUCGAUGUUGGACCAAGAUACCCCUAARAUGCAGAAGUCUUAAAAGGUUGGUCUGUUCGACCAUUAAAAUCUUACGUGAUCUGAGUUCAGACCGG